UUCGCAGCUCUUUCGUGUUAAUAGUGGUAUUCAUGGCCGAAUAUCAUGGUUAGUGAAUC
This 59-nucleotide non-coding RNA is filed under the name uncultured Prevotella sp. RNAcentral describes it as "L13-Bacteroidia ribosomal protein leader". It matches the Rfam family "L13-Bacteroidia ribosomal protein leader", at positions 15 to 73 of the family's 73-position model. Lineage: Bacteria; Pseudomonadati; Bacteroidota; Bacteroidia; Bacteroidales; Prevotellaceae. The record is from RNAcentral.